UACGAAGGGGACUAGCGUUGUUCGGAAUCACUGGGCGUAAAGCGCACGUAGGCGGUUUUGUAAGUCAGGGGUGAAAUCCCGGGGCUCAACCUCGGAACUGCCUUUGAUACUGCGAAUCUCGAGUCCGAUAGAGGUGGGUGGAAUUCCUAGUGUAGAGGUGAAAUUCGUAGAUAUUAGGAAGAACACCGGUGGCGAAGGCGGCCCACUGGAUCGGUACUGACGCUGAGGUGCGAAAGCGUGGGGAGCAAACAGG
This 253-nucleotide ribosomal RNA is filed under the name uncultured bacterium. RNAcentral's name for it is "partial 16S ribosomal RNA". It matches the Rfam family "Bacterial small subunit ribosomal RNA", at positions 524 to 776 of the family's 1533-position model. The record is from RNAcentral.